Non-coding RNA from Caenorhabditis elegans, 118 nucleotides. NCBI's taxonomy places the organism in Eukaryota, Metazoa, Nematoda, Chromadorea, Rhabditida, Rhabditidae. The record is from Ensembl.
CUUCUUCACUGGAGCCACUAAGUUUUUGAAUUCUCACGGGAAUUGAUGGCUCUUUCAUCACUUCCCGCCGCGCCAAGAUAUACCCCCUUUUCUUGAUGAAAAGAAACGACUCACCGAC